AGUGGCAGACGGGUGAGUAACAUGUGGGUAUCUACCCUUUGGCCUGGAAUAACACGAGGAAACUUGUGCUAAUACCGGAUAAGUCUUUACGGAGAAAGCUUUAUGCACCAUUGGAUGAGCCUGCACUAGAUUAGUUUGUUGGUGGGGUAAUGGCCUACCAAGACUGUGAUCUAUAGCUGAUUUGAGAGGAUGAUCAGCCACAUUGGGACUGAGACACGGCCCAAACUCCUACGGGAGGCAGCAGUGGGGAAUCUUGCACAAUGGAGGAAACUCUGAUGCAGCGAUGCCGCGUGAGUGAAGAAGGCCUUUGGGUUGUAAAGCUCUUUCGUCGGGGAAGAAAAUGACUGUACCCGAAUAAGAAGGUCCGGCUAACUUCGUGCCAGCAGCCGCGGUAAUACGAAGGGACCUAGCGUAGUUCGGAUUUACUGGGCUUAAAGAGUUCGUAGGUGGUUGAAAAAGUUGAUGGUGAAAUCCCAGAGCUUAACUCUGGAACUGCCAUCAAAACUUUUCAGCUAGAGUAUGAUAGAGGAAAGCAGAAUUUCUAGUGUAGAGGUGAAAUUCGUAGAUAUUAGAAAGAAUACCAAUUGCGAAGGCAGCUUUCUGGAUCAUUACUGACACUGAUGAACGAAAGCAUGGUAGCGAGAAGGAUAAGAUACCCUCGUAGUCAUGCCGU
Molecule: ribosomal RNA, 673 nt
Filed under: uncultured bacterium
Lineage: Bacteria
Description: bacterial SSU rRNA
Rfam family: Bacterial small subunit ribosomal RNA
Source: RNAcentral